CUACUUACCUGGCAGGGGAGAUACCAUGAUUAUGAAGGUGGUUUUCCUGGGGCGAGGCUUAUCCAGUUGCACUCUAGAUGUGCUGAUCCCUGUGAUUUCCCCAGACGUGGCAAACUGGACUGCAUCAUUUGUGUUAGUGGGGGACUGUGUUUGUGCUUUCCCUUG
This is a small nuclear RNA of Cavia aperea (Brazilian guinea pig), 165 nucleotides long. Its record names the gene U1. It matches the Rfam family "U1 spliceosomal RNA". From Rfam's summary of the family: U1 is a small nuclear RNA (snRNA) component of the spliceosome (involved in pre-mRNA splicing). NCBI's taxonomy places the organism in Eukaryota, Metazoa, Chordata, Mammalia, Rodentia, Caviidae. The record is from Ensembl.